GGAGUUCAACAAUUCCGGAAAUCACUCACCAUCAAUAUAAAAAAGGAAUGAACAAAUGUAUUGCCUCAACAGGUACAAAUACUCUGCUGAAGGCAAAAGCCCACAACAUGAUGACAGAUCAGAUGGAACCCAAACAGAAUAUCAAUCGCGAAUGUAUAAUGCGAGCAGUCAUGAUACCAACAUGGACCUCUGUGGAACUCCACUAGUCGCUGGCUGUAAUCCUGAAAAAGACCACUCUAUCCCCACACUCUACCUUCAGACAGUCAGCCAAUCUUCUAUCCAUGCCAGUGACUUGCUCCUAAUGGCAUAGGUGUGAGGAUCUAAAAUUUGAACUUGGGUUAUUAUUUGAAGCAACAAGUUUAUGUAGAUUUUUACUAACCACAAAAUGGUUGUUCAAUUUAAAAGAAUACAAGAAAAUGGCUGAGAGUAGUGCUUGUACCCUGUGAACUGGUACUGCUGUUUUGCAGAAUUAAGCUGAAAUUCAAAGAUAAGAGGACAAUAGAGUUUUCAUAAAAUGAAUACUAACACAUUAAUUUACCAUUUGAACUAACCUUGAACCGUUACAAUGGCAUAAUGAUUUAUGUAAAUCAUUCCCAGGAAAUAUCAUUGGAUUAACAUGUUGUAAAUCAUGCCACCUUAUUAUAUGUGAUUUUUUUUUGUAAUUAAGGCUGUACUACCUCUUUAAAAGCAUAUAAGUAAUGUGUAAUUUUUGAAUGUAAUUGUGCAACUUCAGCACGGAACACAGAAGCUUUAACCUCUGUGUUGCUGGAUAGAA
Molecule: non-coding RNA, 775 nt
Organism: Chiloscyllium plagiosum (whitespotted bambooshark)
Lineage: Eukaryota; Metazoa; Chordata; Chondrichthyes; Orectolobiformes; Hemiscylliidae
Source: RefSeq, a predicted model, not a curated record